This 542-nucleotide long non-coding RNA is filed under the name Ananas comosus (pineapple). RNAcentral's name for it is "long non-coding RNA (ACOM_LNC028592)". The record is from RNAcentral. Lineage: Eukaryota; Viridiplantae; Streptophyta; Magnoliopsida; Poales; Bromeliaceae.
GAAGAAGAAUUACAAUCAGAGCUGUAAAAAAAAUCUAGAAAAAUAAGAUAAAAAAAUAAAAAACAAAAAUUUUUUUGGAAAAAAAAGGGAAACACAAGAACACGUAGAGAAAACCUAGCGGAAGAAAAAAACGAAGAGAAAAUACUGUGAUAGUAUAUAUAUAUAUAUAUAGUCCAGCUAUGGUGCUUGUAAAAGCACCAAGCACUUGGUGCUUAUAAAUUUUUUACCGUUAGAUUUACUCCACGGAUCAUUUUCAACCAUUAGAUUAUACUAUUUAACCAACCAUCCACUCAACCCUAGUGUGCCCACAUCAGAGGGUUGUGCCCACAUCAUUCUAACCGCAUAUCUUUUAAUCCAACGGCUAAAAAUCUACAAGUACAAAUGUCUUGGUACUUUUAAAACAUAGGAGUUCAACAUAUAUAUAUAUAUAUAUAUAUGACGUUAUUAUCAUAAUAUAUACUAAUAUAAUAUAUGCAACAAAAAUAUAAAUCUAUACAGAAAAUUUAAAAUCAAAAUUUGGUCCUGAAAUACAAUAAUAAAAU